GAGAUCUGCGUUCAAGUUUUCACUCCCUGAACCAGGACCGGGACCGAGGCCGGGUAUGACGUCCAUUUACCUAUCACACGAAGAAAGUGAACACUUUGGUGUCUGUUGUUCGUCUCCUUGACUCCUCGAGCUCCUAUCUCUAGGCGUUGUCUCAUCGGUAACAAAGUGUUUACACGUGGUCAUGAUGUGAAAGCGUUCCGAGUUGGAAUUUGCUGAAAUGAAAAAAUGCAAAUUGACUGUUUCCUGCUACCCAUUCUUAUCGCCAUUCGAGAGUGAAACAAAGGGCAGUAACUCUGACAGAUCAGAACAUGCAGCACGAUCCAAAGACGUCAUUGGGGAUUAAUGAUAAAUGAAGUUACGAUAACAUUUUGACGGGAUACAUGCCAUACAUGCUCG
Ylistrum balloti is the source of this 396-nucleotide long non-coding RNA. RefSeq lists it as uncharacterized. The transcript has 3 exons. NCBI's taxonomy places the organism in Eukaryota, Metazoa, Mollusca, Bivalvia, Pectinida, Pectinidae. The record is from RefSeq and is a predicted model, not a curated record.